ACAACACACGUGACACACGUGACUAAACCUGAUUGGUUGUUGUCAUAGUAACACGCCACGGUGCUAUUUGAAAGCUGUAGUUGUUCAGUGAGUUCAGUUCACGAGGUGCAUGCGGUUGCUUGCGUUAAACGUAUAAACUGUUAAAUUAGAUGGCGACUCUGCAUUAAACGUAUUUAUUUAAUUAAUCGGCGAUCGUAUUUCACCAGAGGACUAAGAUAAAACAACUCGAUUUAAAAUGUGAGCAGUUUUAGUGGAUCUGACGUCGAGGGAAAAAGUAUUUUUGUUUGGAGAUGAACGAGACAACACGAGGCACAGCGACAUAAAUAUGACCAACCAGAUCCCAAGUAGACAGGAACAAAUGAAGAUAUAGCGCAUAGAAAGACUUAUUCUUGGUGAUCAACUGCUAUUGACAUUUUUGAAUCGGGACAAAUGUGGAGUGAUUCGGAAGAAAAACGUUUGCAACACAUCCAUUCCAGAGUGCUCUGACAGAUAAAACUGACACGCUUGAUGAGGACACAGUCAAAGCUUUAAAAGACCGUGUGAUAAAGCAGUCUUCAAUUACUACGGUGUCUGAAUUGCAAGAAGAAAUGACCCUCCACUUAAACAUGUGACAUCUAAACUGUUGUGUGUUUUAGUUCAGCUUUUUAUAGGUUUAUCUUAAGUUGGUUAAAGGCGGAGUGCACUAUUUUUGAAAGCCAAUGUUAACAUUUGAAAUUACCUAAACAAACAUGCCUCUACCCCAAUAGAAUCUGGACCUUCUUUUGAUAGAGCCACCACACACAGACGCAACCCCUGCAAGGAUGUCAGUUAGUAGACACGCCCCUUACUGCUGGUUGGCUACAAGUGUGUUUUGGUAGUCGGCCCAAUUUCCUUUUCCAAAGCGUUUUUCAAACAUUGUGCACUCCGUCUUUAAAUU
Molecule: long non-coding RNA, 916 nt
Organism: Paramisgurnus dabryanus
Lineage: Eukaryota; Metazoa; Chordata; Actinopteri; Cypriniformes; Cobitidae
Source: RefSeq, a predicted model, not a curated record